This 235-nucleotide ribosomal RNA is filed under the name uncultured archaeon. RNAcentral describes it as "partial 16S ribosomal RNA". It matches the Rfam family "Archaeal small subunit ribosomal RNA", at positions 748 to 982 of the family's 1478-position model. The record is from RNAcentral.
CAGCCGUAAACGAUGCUCGUUAGGUGUCAGGCAUGGCGCGACCGUGUCUGGUGCCGCAGGGAAGCCGUGAAGCGAGCCACCUGGGAAGUACGGCCGCAAGGCUGAAACUUAAAGGAAUUGGCGGGGGAGCACAACAACGGGUGGAGCCUGCGGUUUAAUUGGACUCAACGCCGGACAACUCACCGGGGGCGACAGCAAUAUGAAGGCCAGGCUGAAGACUUUGCUUGACUAGCUG